CAAUUUUUGGAUCAACUAUCCUUUUACCAUUGAAACAGUUAUACACUUCACCUUUAAGAAACAAUUAUGAAUGAAAUUAAAUGUUUGUUUGAUGUAGUCCCAUGAAAGCUAGGAAGUGUGCUACAUCAGUGUGUCAGCUUCAUUGCACAGUCUACAAAUGUCUUCCUUUCCAACCAGUUUGAUUGGCAAGCCUCUCUAGGGAAGGUGCCACAUCUGGCCUUGUGCUUCUCUACCAGACUGGACGCGCUGAUUCAAGCACAGAACGGGAUGUGAGGUGGUAGAUCACAAUGAAAGAGAUGAACUCUAAUGGACUGAUCAUCAGAAACUAUAAACGAGCACAGAGGUAAAACUGAAUGUCAGUACGCUAAGCACAAGAUCUUCAUUCAGCCAUUCAGGAGAACUUUCUCUCCCCGGAUGAGGCUCUGUCGGGAGCUUUUCUCUGUUUGUAUCCUUCCUCAAUACUUUGCCAUUGGACCUUCAGCGGUUAUACAUCGUCUGUUCUUUUUAUUGCCAAUUCCAUUUGUACAAAAUAGAGAGAAUCAACCAUAACAUGACGUGGAACAUUUGUGCUGACAAAAAGGUGCUUUGUGGCCUUUGUUUUCCAUUCGAUGGGUUAUUCGUUUCGUUUAGUAUAUUUUGAAUUAUUUCUGGUCUUGUAUUUAAAGUGAAAUUCUGUAUUUAGGUGUUUCUUUGGUUGGUUUUGCACUUCUAGUCUUAAAUAGGGCUGUCAAUUGAUUAAACAUUUUAAUCGAAUGAAUCACGAUAUACUGAUUAAUUAGUCGAAUUAAUCACAUACUGUAUAUCCAUGUUUCCUGAGAAAGAAAUAAAAUACAUUUAAAAUGAAUUUAUUAAUUAAUCAUUUAAAAAUACAACAUUAUUGUGGCAUGACAGCUUUAAACAGACAUUACACAAUGUGAUUUAUAUAUUGUCAGUAAGUCAGUAUAUUGUUUUUUUCUUCUUCAUAUGAU
Sinocyclocheilus rhinocerous is the source of this 968-nucleotide long non-coding RNA. RefSeq lists it as uncharacterized. The transcript is spliced from 2 exons. The record is from RefSeq and is a predicted model, not a curated record. Lineage: Eukaryota; Metazoa; Chordata; Actinopteri; Cypriniformes; Cyprinidae.